CCACUUGACUUGACGGGCACGGCCAUGACCAGCCAGUCCCAGGGCAUCCACCAGCUCCUUCAGGCAGAAAAAAGAGCCAAGGACAAGCUGGAGGAGGCCAAGAAGAGGAAAGCAAAGCGGAUAAAGCAAGCGAAGGACGAGGCGAUGGUGGAGAUCGACCAGUACCGGAUGCAGAAGGACAAGGAGUUUCGGAUGAAACAGUCGAAGGUGCUGGGCUCCCAGAGCAGCACCUCGGAGGAGAUGGAGGAGCAGACGCUGGAGGCGAUCAGGGGCCUGCAGGGAAGCUACGGCAAGUGCGCGGAGAGCGUGCUCACCCAGGUCCUGAGCAUGGUGUGUGACGUGAAGCCCGAAAUCCACGCCAACUACAGAGCUGCCGACUGAAGGUGCGGCCCGCUGCCCCCCGGAGUUGCCGGGGCACGCGCCCUGUUGCUUGUGGCGGCGGCGGCGUGUUGCCAUUGAGAAGUUUGGGAGGUCUUCCCCCAGCAACGGAACAACCCGAGGACGUGAGGGCCCUGCCCUCCCCCCGUCUGGACCCUGUGCCUGACCAGAAACCCCUCUGUGGACCGCCUGCUCAUCCCGAUGGCACCUGAACACACAGCCAGGCCCUCCACAGAAAUGCGGAUGGGCCCUGGCUGGUGUGGCUCAGUGGUUAGAGUUCCGGCCUGAGAACCAAAGGGUCGCCGGUUCAAUUCCCAGCCAGGGCACAUGCCUGGGUUUCGAGCCAGGUUCUCCAGUAGGGGGCACUCG
Molecule: RNA transcript, 747 nt
Organism: Phyllostomus hastatus (greater spear-nosed bat)
Lineage: Eukaryota; Metazoa; Chordata; Mammalia; Chiroptera; Phyllostomidae
Gene: ATP6V1G3
Gene name: ATPase H+ transporting V1 subunit G3
Exons: 4
Source: RefSeq, a predicted model, not a curated record